CAGUCGCCACGGUAAUACGAGGGGGGCAAGCGUUGUUCGGAAUUAUUGGGCGUAAAGGGUGCGUAGGCGGCUUGACAAGUCUUGUGUGAAAUCUAUGGGCUCAACCCAUAGUCUGCACGGGAAACUGUCGGGCUUGAGAAUGGGAGAGGUGAGUGGAAUUUCCGGUGUAGCGGUGAAAUGCGUAGAUAUCGGAAGGAACACCUGUGGCGAAAGCGGCUCACUGGACCAUUUCUGACGCUGAUGCACGAAAGCUAGGGGAGCAAACAGGAUUAGAUACCCGAGUAGUCCCUGUCUCUUAUAU
This 301-nucleotide ribosomal RNA is filed under the name uncultured bacterium. Its description in RNAcentral is "partial 16S ribosomal RNA". It matches the Rfam family "Bacterial small subunit ribosomal RNA", at positions 509 to 809 of the family's 1533-position model. The record is from RNAcentral.